CUUCCCUGUUCUGGAUACAUACUGAGCCAGAACCCCACUACCUCAAGCCUGACUUUCUUACAGAAACAGACUAAAGGGCGUUUGGUAAAUUUAUAAAUUCUGAACAAUGCAUCCAAACUUCAAACACAAUAAGGCUACUUGAUCCCCUUCCCAGAGUCGCAGAAACAAAGCAAGAGAAAAUCACCCCCCUCCUCCCACACAAACACAUUAUAGGCAUUGCACAGUUAUGCAAAAGUGGAUUUUUGUAUUCCAUUUUAGGAUUACUAGAGAAUGAACCUUCUCUUUGUAUUAUAGUUAACUUGGCUUUGCCCAUAAACAACAAAAUAGUGGGGGCAUGGAAAAAUUGCUAAGGGCUUUAUCUGGCUUCUGAAGAGGCCUAGAUGUCCACUCCAGAGGAAAGUAAAAUGCAAGCCUGCAGAGUUAGAGAUGAUAACCACCAUAAAUGUUCUUGCAUUUCACAUAAAGCAAUCAAAAAACACUAGUAAGGUGAAGGUUUCAUAUAUUAACAGGUAAACGUCUAGGCCAAAAAAAAAAAAUCUUGUCUGCACAUGGAAUAAGUUACUUAUUAACAACUCCCUCUUCCUGCAGGGAGCUUUUAUUCUCCUUUCUCCCCGCCCAAACAUAGCAAUCAAACAAACAACAAGAACUACUAAGGCGAAAUGAAAACCAACAGAUUUCCUCGGCUAUGGAUGCCAAGUCUACAAAGAGAGGAAUGGAGAUGCACUGUGGCGACUUAUUAGCUCUUGGGAAGAACCUAGAAGACACAAUUGGACGAUAGCUCCUCCAGUCAAAAGGCUGGGUAAUCCAUGUUUUCAUGUGAACAGCUAUAGAAAGUUCUCCCCCCCCCGCCUCCACUUGCUUGACUGCUUCCUCCACUGCAUCAUGGAAGUCCAUGAAGAAUAGAAAGGAGGCUAAUAACAAGCAAUCUUCGGAAGGGCCAAGGAGCCCGAGGAAGAAAUGAAAGAAGAAAAUGUAGGCACAGAGGAGUCACGUAGGGUGCUGGAGGCGAGGACAGAAUAUUUGGAAGAGCUCAAUGUGGAAGGCAAGGGAAAUCCAGUGAAGGGAUUCAUAAGCUGAAGUGAAUGAAUAUGAUCAAAGAGCAGAAAAGGAAGAUGAUUUGAGUAGAAGCAAUCUGGAUAAACCGGAGCAAGGCUGAGAUUAGAUAUGAGGAGGCUGAGAAGAAAAGAAUUAUUUCCCCCUGCAGCUGUAAAUCCAGGUAAUGAACACAGGACCUGCAGGAAAUGUGAGCAAGGGGGUUUCAGGUGUCUGACAUGGGCUGCUUUAUACUGAGGGCAAUAUAAUGGUUGUCUCUGCAUGACCAUGUGCAAGGAGAUUUCUUCCCCUCCCCUCCCAAUGUUGUUUGCAUGUACGUUGCAGCUGGCCAGGAUUAGAAGGGGAAAGGAAGAAGGCUGCUUGCAUAAAACUAGAUCCUCCAGAAGUGCUUGCCAAGGAGGAGGGAUGAGAUGCAAGUGUGGCCAGGGAGGUAGCCAGAAAUCCUGCUGGUGUUUCUACUGCAGUACGGAGCCUCUGCAUUCCCAGUUGCAGAGCAAAGCAUUAAAGACACAGUCCAGUCCAUAUUGUUUGGCAGUUGUGCAAUGGUAGGCAGAAACUGUCACUGUUCAGCUUCUAAAUGAGGUGUGGACACUUCAUUGACUGAGCACAGUAAUUCUCAGGUGUAUCUGGGAGGGGAGGAUUUGUUCACUUCGGAGCUCUGGUGUGAGGAUUGCACAGAUAAACAUUUUUCUGAAUUAAAGUUGGAUUACGUCUUUCUCAAGCAGCCAAGUGCCAGCCCAAUUUCCUGGUGCCUCGAAAGGUUUAUCCUCCAGGUAUUGUCGGGAGUCAGCUGGACAGUUAGACUUCAUCCAGACAGUCUGAAAUUUCAUCAUCUGUUGUGUCUCCGAUGAAGGGAGAAGACUAGUGAACUGAGUGACUCCAAACAAUUGGCGAACACUUAUACUAAAGGCCAGUUGGUUCAGGAACUGAUGACAGCUGAAGAUUGUGUGGACAAGAGCAGCUAAACAGUACGGACCAGAUUGUGACCAUCUCCUACACAGAUGCACAAGGGAGAAAAUUCCCUUCUUUCACAGGGAAUGGCCACAACUGCAAUACAUGCCCAACCUCCUGAAGUGACGUUAGCCAACCAAAAGGAGGUGACAGGGCUGUUCCGAGCCAUUCGUGCACCCUGGGAGAGUGGCGCAUGUGUAGCCUUGCCCCCAGGUGCGGGGCGCCUGCGUGGCUCCACCCUCGGGCGCCUGGCGCAUGUGUGGCCCCUUCCCGGGCACGCGGCGCAUGUGUGGCCCCGCCUCUGGGUGCCCGGUGCAUGCGUGGCACCGCCCCAGGUGCAUGGAAUAUACCUGGUGCCACCCCCGUCUGGCCCGGUAGCCCCGCACAGUGCCCCCUACAAUGGGGCGCCCCGGGCGGUAGCCCAGUCAGCCCGUAGCUUGGGCCAGCUCUGGGAGGGGAGGGUUAGGCCCUAGGCUCCCUGCACACAGCACGCAGCAGAGCUGGUUGGUCAGACAAGAGAGCACAUACUGUGUCCCCCACCUCCACACGAUGGGUACAUAAGCAGGCAGAUUUUUCCUUUAUGGCUGGGAAUUCCAGGAGGUACUGCACCUCUGAGUCAUAUGCCUCCCGAAGCUCUGCCUGGGGUGAGGCACAUGUGCACGACCCU
Molecule: non-coding RNA, 2671 nt
Organism: Pelodiscus sinensis (Chinese soft-shelled turtle)
Lineage: Eukaryota; Metazoa; Chordata; Testudines; Trionychidae
Source: RefSeq, a predicted model, not a curated record